GGGGGUGAUCUGGUUUCGACAGGGUCGCCGAAGUGUUAGUUGCAAGCCGAGGUCUCAGACGGGGGCACUCGUUAAAAAGUCUGAAAAAAAAUAAGUGCUGACGAAAACUACGCACUCGCUGCCUAAUUAACGGCAACGCC
This 140-nucleotide transfer-messenger RNA is filed under the name Fibrobacter sp. Its description in RNAcentral is "partial transfer-messenger RNA". It matches the Rfam family "transfer-messenger RNA", at positions 1 to 144 of the family's 374-position model. Rfam says of the family: Bacterial tmRNA, also known as 10Sa RNA or SsrA, is named for its dual tRNA and mRNA-like properties. Its role is to liberate the mRNA from a stalled ribosome. The record is from RNAcentral. Lineage: Bacteria; Pseudomonadati; Fibrobacterota; Fibrobacteria; Fibrobacterales; Fibrobacteraceae.